GGCGAUGAUGCUACACCCAACAUUUGGAGGUGCAGAUGGCUCCAGGAUCCUGUUUAGAGGAUGAACCUACCUGGAGGCGCUGUACCCACAUGACAUUCAUGGGCAAUUCUGAGGU
This 115-nucleotide small nucleolar RNA is filed under the name Hordeum vulgare. RNAcentral describes it as "Small nucleolar RNA Z278". It matches the Rfam family "Small nucleolar RNA Z278". Rfam says of the family: snoZ278 is a C/D box small nucleolar RNA. Its methylation guide targets have not been reported. The record is from RNAcentral. Lineage: Eukaryota; Viridiplantae; Streptophyta; Magnoliopsida; Poales; Poaceae.